Molecule: ribosomal RNA, 301 nt
Filed under: uncultured bacterium
Lineage: Bacteria
Description: partial 16S ribosomal RNA
Rfam family: Bacterial small subunit ribosomal RNA
Source: RNAcentral
CAGUCGCCGCGGGAAUACGUAGGUGGCAAGCGUUAUCCGGAAUUAUUGGGCGUAAAGCGCGCGUAGGCGGUUUUUUAAGUCUGAUGUGAAAGCCCACGGCUCAACCGUGGAGGGUCAUUGGAAACUGGAAAACUUGAGUGCAGAAGGGGAAAGUGGAAUUCCAUGUGUAGCGGUGAAAUGCGCAGAGAUAUGGAGGAACACCAGUGGCGAAGGCGACUCACUGGUCUGUAACUGACGCUGAGGAGCGAAAGCGUGGGGAGCGAACAGGAUUAGAGACCCCAGUAGUCCCUGUCUCUUAUAC